CUGCAGUCCUGGUUGUAAGUGUUUAGUCCUAAAGGACCGCCGAGGUCGAAUGAAUCUUUAUUCCCCUUGGAAACUCUCCCUGUACUCUCAGUCACACCUUCGUAAGCUAUGUAGAAACUGGUUAAACCGGUCUAUCCGCUCGGUAACAGGUUCUCGUCUCUCUGUCUCGGUUGUGAACACAGUGGAAAUGACAACAUCACCCGACUGUAAAGAUCGCGUACCUGUUUGCUCUUAUUGAGUAAUGCGACACAACUCGCUUGAUGUCAUCUCUUAUCUGCUCCGCCUGAAAUGUGCAAACAGACGCACAGCUGAAGAAAUACACACUCGGCCUCUUCUGGGCGCAGCUCUGACACACCAACAGGAGGAGGAGAGCUGGAUCACGGAGACAUGGGGAACGUAUGCAGUCGCAGCGGAGGAGAGACCGCAUGGCAAACUCCUCCAGCUCCUCAUCAAUGGAUGACCUUGUUGGUCUGGACCUCCAGCAUCACCUCGGCACUGGACAGCCGAUGAGCAUCAACAAGAAGUGCAAUCUGUGAAAGAGCCUCUUCAACCGUAUCCACACCCUCAUCUCCCAGAGAAAAACUCACCAGCCGCUCGAUUCAAAAUAGAGGAAGAACAAAACGUUAUCAUCACUGAUAACAGGCUGUAAAAAAGCACCACGCAUGAAUCACAUACAACAUUCCUAGUUGUUAAAUUGCUUUAAUUACAGAUAAUUAGCUUUAACUGAUAAUUGACCUUUCUGGAAUUAUCAGCAUUGCAGUAUGCACAUUUAAGUCAACAUGAAACUGCAUUAUAUUUCUGUAAUAUGAUGCCCAAAACUGGAUAUUCAAUGGGAAAAUGUUGAAAGGGGCCGUGAUUGAAUUCAAUUCUGAUUUCAUGCAGACUUGAAAUACCUAUUAUACACACCCUGUUUUCCAUAAUAAAAUACUAAGCACUUAUCUGUACAUCCAUAUGAAAGAAUCCACUUCAAAUGCAUGUAAAAGCAACCUCUCGAUUUAUAGAUGUGACUCACGACUCAAGAAGUUUGAACAACCAUAAAAAGUCUUGCAUUGA
Molecule: non-coding RNA, 1053 nt
Organism: Pimephales promelas (fathead minnow)
Lineage: Eukaryota; Metazoa; Chordata; Actinopteri; Cypriniformes; Leuciscidae
Source: RefSeq, a predicted model, not a curated record